This 443-nucleotide ribosomal RNA is filed under the name uncultured bacterium. RNAcentral's name for it is "partial 16S ribosomal RNA". It matches the Rfam family "Bacterial small subunit ribosomal RNA", at positions 338 to 795 of the family's 1533-position model. The record is from RNAcentral.
CCUACGGGUGGCAGCAGUGGGGAAUAUUGGGCAAUGGAGGCAACUCUGACCCAGCAACGCCGCGUGAAUGAUGAAGGUCUUCGGAUUGUAAAGCUCUGUGAUGGGGGAUGAACACAAGGACGGUACCCCAUUAGCAAGCCACGGCUAACUACGUGCCAGUAGCUGCGGUCAUACGUAGGCGGCAAGCGUUAUCCGGAAUGACUGGGCGUAAGGGGCGCGUAGGUGGUUGAGUAAGUUUGCGGUGAAAUUCCAGGGCUUAACCUGGGUGCUACCGCCAAAACUAUUAAGCUAGAGUGCAGGAGAGGUAAGUGGAAUUCCUAGUGUAGCGGUGAAAUGCGUAGAUAUUAGGAGGAACAUCAGGGGCGAAGGCGGCUUACUGGACUGUAACUGACGCUGAGGCACGAAAGCGUGGGGAGCAAACAGGAUUAGAUACCCUUGUAGUC